Molecule: long non-coding RNA, 795 nt
Organism: Humulus lupulus (European hop)
Lineage: Eukaryota; Viridiplantae; Streptophyta; Magnoliopsida; Rosales; Cannabaceae
Exons: 5
Source: RefSeq, a predicted model, not a curated record
AGAUAACAACAUGCUAUGCUAGAAUACUAACAAACGAAGAGAAGAAGAAAUAUCGACCUGGACAACCUCAUUUAGUUUGGUUUAUGCCUACUGGGAUUUCUGAAUAACAACUAGCCCCUUACCCAAUCGACCAUGCUUCUCGUCAAGGCAAUUGGAAGAAACAUCAUUUUGGAAGUUUUAAGCAUUGUCAAGAGAUGGUUGUACCUAUUUUGAGUGACCUGUCUUCAGAAGCUCGUCAUUGGUUUGUAGACUGCGUGAAAAUCAAUUCAAAAACUGUUGACAUUUGGGAUUCAUUGACCAGCGAUGAAACAAAGGCCGAGAGGUUGGAACAAACUAAAGAAAUGUUGAGUACCCUGGAUAAGUUAUUUUACUUUGACAUUGCUGGCUCAAGAGGGGUGGAUUCAUUUAAGUUCUCUACUUUGAAAUCUCUUUUAAAGUUGGUUGCCCCAACAAACUAAUAUUCAUGACUGUGGUGUUUAUGCUAUGAAGUAUAUGGGAGGCAAUUAGUGAGGGAAAUGCAAAUGCAUACGAGGAAAAUAGCUUUGGUGGCGGGAAAGGUUCUUGGUAGCUUGGGGAUGUGUAUUGAGGCGGGAUGGAAUCGAUGGACCGAGCGUUCGAUUCGAGGAUGAAGUUUCUUUAAAUUUUAUAUGUAUUUUCUGCACUUUAUUAUGUAAUCCAUUUAUUUAAAAUUAUGUUAUGUUUUUUUCUUUAAAAAAACAAUGAGAUCCCAUAUCCUACUUUAAAUUUUAUGUAGUUUAACAUUUUUUUUAAGUUUUAAUGAAGUAAUGAUUAUUU